UACGUAGGGGGCAAGCGUUGUCCGGAAUCAUUGGGCGUAAAGAGCGUGUAGGCGGCCCGAUAAGUCCGCCGUGAAAGUCCAGGGCUCAACCCUGGAAUGCCGGUGGAAACUGUCGGGCUGGAGUCCGGAAGAGGCGAAUGGAAUUCCUGGUGUAGCGGUGAAAUGCGCAGAUAUCAGGAGGAACACCAAUGGCGAAGGCAGCUCGCUGGGACGGUACUGACGCUGAGACGCGAAAGCGUGGGGAGCGAACAGG
RNAcentral lists this ribosomal RNA (253 nucleotides) under uncultured bacterium. RNAcentral's name for it is "partial 16S ribosomal RNA". It matches the Rfam family "Bacterial small subunit ribosomal RNA", at positions 524 to 776 of the family's 1533-position model. The record is from RNAcentral.